Molecule: long non-coding RNA, 666 nt
Organism: Ictalurus punctatus (channel catfish)
Lineage: Eukaryota; Metazoa; Chordata; Actinopteri; Siluriformes; Ictaluridae
Source: Ensembl
CGGGAGAGAGAAGGGAGAAGCACGUGCGGUUGAAGGAGUGUGAAUUCGCUAGCUGCGGGUUUUUUGUUUCUUUCAAGUAACAUCACUGCGAGUUAAGUGGUCGACCAGAGCACUAUAUGUAACUGUAGUGGUGUAAUAAGCUAACCUCGGAGAGAUGUUAUAUUACCGUGGAAAGAGUAUAAUAGUUAAGAGCUAGUUGUUAAGACUUGGAUACUAGUGCACACAUGGACUUUGCUAAGAAGUUAGUGAACAGCCGACUGGAGGAUCAGAGACUGUGUUUCUCACAGAGAAAGGAGCUGUGGACUUCGCGGAUGACUGCCUGUGUGUGAACCUUCUCUUCUUCUUAUCUUGCAACGACCCUGCGUGACUGUGACCCCAUUGUUGAUCAAGCUGCUGCCAAAUGAUUGGCUGAUUGCAUGAAUGAACAGGUGUUCCUAUUAAAGUGGAAGUGACAGGUGUAUGCAAACAGAAGUCCAGCGAUGCAGAGCGGGUGACUGAAUCAGGUGACCUACUUUUGGCCAUGUUUUGCAGUGGUGAAUAGAAACGUUGCUGAAAUAGUUAGUUACUGAAACUGGACGUGACAUGACAAAAAUGACCUGCAUGUGAAGUUCACGUCUCUAAGGUAGCUAGAUAUUUCUUCUUCAAAGACACGCAUUUGCUUUAAAC